CCUACGGGGGGCAGCAGUGGGGAAUAUUGCACAAUGGGGGAAACCCUGAUGCAGCAACGCCGCGUGAGGGAAGAAGGAUUUCGGGAUGUAAAGCUCUAUCAGCAGGGAAGAGAAGGACGGUACCUGACUAAGAAGCGCCGGCGAACAACGUGCCAGCACCCGCGGGAAUACGGAGGGGGCAAGCGUUAUCCGGAUUUACUGGGUGUAAAGGGAGCGUAGACGGUUGUACAAGUCUGAAGUGAAAGCCCGUGGCUCAACCGCGGAACUGCUUUGGAAACUGUAAAGCUGGAGUACUGGUGAGGCAGGCGGAAUUCCUAGUGUAGCGGUGAAAUGCGUAGAUAUUAGGAGGAACACCAGUGGCGAAGGCGGCCUGCUGGACAGCAACUGACGUUGAGGCUCGAAAGCGUGGGGAGCAAACAGGAUUAGAUACCCUGGUAGUC
This 440-nucleotide ribosomal RNA is filed under the name uncultured bacterium. RNAcentral's name for it is "partial 16S ribosomal RNA". It matches the Rfam family "Bacterial small subunit ribosomal RNA", at positions 338 to 795 of the family's 1533-position model. The record is from RNAcentral.